UGCUAUAUAAACCCAGUCAUCGUUUUCAUUCUCAUCAAUCAGUUUUUAAAGUUCUGUCAAAAUGAAAAUAUUUCAAAUAAUAUUUGUUGUGGCCUGCGUUAUAGCUGCCGUCUCUUGUAAUCCCGGCAAUAACGAAAUCGGUGGAAAUGGCAAUACCAAUAAUAAGCAGAGUAAUGGUGAUGGCACAUUUUGUGCUUUGUGCGGUUAACAGCCUUUAAUGAAUGAAAUAUUCUUGUUUUCGAAAAUUAAAAAUAAAUAAAUUUCAAUGAUUUCAUAAAACAAGUUAAA
Lucilia sericata (common green bottle fly) is the source of this 288-nucleotide long non-coding RNA. RefSeq lists it as uncharacterized. The record is from RefSeq and is a predicted model, not a curated record. The transcript has 2 exons. NCBI's taxonomy places the organism in Eukaryota, Metazoa, Arthropoda, Insecta, Diptera, Calliphoridae.